Salvia miltiorrhiza (redroot sage) is the source of this 1297-nucleotide long non-coding RNA. RefSeq lists it as uncharacterized. The transcript has 5 exons. Lineage: Eukaryota; Viridiplantae; Streptophyta; Magnoliopsida; Lamiales; Lamiaceae. The record is from RefSeq and is a predicted model, not a curated record.
AACAGUUUAACGGUAAUAUUUUACCGCCAUAUCUUCUCUCUCCCACGUUUCUCUCCACUUUAAUCUCCAACUUUCUCUUGCUCUUUAUACACCAAAAACGGUUUUCUCCACAAAUCUAAAACGUUCUCUCUGCAAAAAUCGACGAAUUUAUGUUCUCUAUCCUAUACAUCAAUAAAUCUUAAAUAUUACUUCAAUGGGGAUGAGUUCAAUCGAAGAACUGAUGGAAAACAUCAGCAAUUUCCUCUCUCAAUUGUUCAUAACCCAACCCAUCAUUCCUACAAAAGAAAAUCGUUCCUCUCUCCAAAACAGUUAAACCCAUCUCCCUAUUCUUCGAUUCUUCUUCUAAUUAGCCCAAAUCAAUGUACAAGUAGUGGAUCUCAAGCCCACCGGCGACAAAGGCAUGUAUGAAUAUAAAUUUGCAUAAUUUUUUUUAGAAUUCACCAUCGGCAAUGACAAGCAGGCGAGUCGAUCUACGGCGACGACAUUUGUUGAAGUGGAAAUGCAGGGGAUUGAAGUGGAAGUCUUCUCUAUUUCACGCUCUAUCCAUCGAAAAUAGAGACACAUAGAGACACAUUUUCCCAGUUGAUGCUACUAUAUAUGUGAGAAAUUGAUUUGAAGGCGGAUGAGGAGAAGAAUAUGGGGUUACUCUCAAAUUUGGCUUAUGCUUUGACAAUGGACUAUAUUUUUGCAAAGGAGCUCUUAUGGAAAUAAAGGCUGAGCAACCAAGAAAGCCUAGAGCAGAUCUAACUUUUUGAGAUCAAAUCUUGAAAGGCGUUGUGCUCUUCUUUUGCUAUGGGAAUUUUUUUAUGCUAAAGCUAAAGUAGAAAGCCUAGCUCAUACGGGUUUAGAAAAACCAUCUUUUCGGGAUAUUCUCAGCGCAUCAGUUGCAGAAAAUUCAAUUUUUAGGAUUUGUUUCAGCAUCAUUUCUAGCGCGUCAAGGUUGAUUCGUUUAGCGCGUAUCACCAACAUUUGUUGGUCGCAGAUGUAGAGAAAUCAAAAGGGAUGUGUCCAUAAGCCACCAGAGAGGAUUGGGGAAGAAAGAUGUGGAGAAAUCGAUAGGAUGUGUGAAAAAGUAACAUGAUGGACUGUUUCUCUUGGAUGGAAAUAUCAUUGACGGCCAUGUUUCAAAAAUCUAAACAUUCAUAGGACACUUAUUGAAAAUUUAGAAAGUGCUAAUGCACCCAUAUAUCAUCGAAGCUCUCAAGUGAGAAAAAUGUUUAGUAUGAAAUUUUGAAUAAUUUGUUAUAAUCUUUUAAAAAGAUAUAUAAAUAAAAAAAAUUGCAGUAUAAAUUUUUCA